UAAAAAGCAUUGACAAGAAAAGUAAAUAGGUGGAGCCUUCACAGAGAGACUGUAGCUGGUGGAAGCAGUUAAGGAAAAGCCUAUUGAAAAUGGUCUUCGAGUUGACCGCAUCGAGAUUGAGAUGGGUUCGGGUUCUCCCGUUAUAGAGAGCGAGUAUGAUGGUACUCACAGAGUUAUUAAUCGUGAGAUUGAUAAAAAUAUAGGUGGUAACGCGAGAGAUCUCGUCCUUUGA
Molecule: non-coding RNA, 232 nt
Filed under: Alloiococcus otitis
Lineage: Bacteria; Bacillati; Bacillota; Bacilli; Lactobacillales; Carnobacteriaceae
Description: T-box sequence
Rfam family: T-box leader
About the family: Uncharged tRNA acts as the effector for transcription antitermination of genes in the T-box leader family. T-boxes are found upstream of many aminoacyl-tRNA synthetase genes and some amino acid biosynthetic genes usually in Gram-positive bacteria.
Source: RNAcentral